ACUCCUGCGGGAGGCAGCAGUGGGGAAUAUUGGACAAUAGGCGCAAGCCUGAUCCAGCCAUGCCGCGUGAGUGAUGAAGGCCCUAGGGUUGUAAAGCUCUUUCACCGGUGAAGAUAAUGACGGUAACCGGAGAAGAAGCCCCGGCUAACUUCGUGCCAGCAGCCGCGGUAAUACGAAGGGGGCUAGCGUUGUUCGGAUUUACUGGGCGUAAAGCGCACGUAGGCGGACUAUUAAGUCAGGGGUGAAAUCCCGGGGCUCAACCCCGGAACUGCCUUUGAUACUGGUAGUCUUGAGUUCGAGAGAGGUGAGUGGAAUUCCGAGUGUAGAGGUGAAAUUCGUAGAUAUUCGGAGGAACACCAGUGGCGAAGGCGGCUCACUGGCUCGAUACUGACGCUGAGGUGCGAAAGCGUGGGGAGCAAACAGGAUUAGAUACCCUAGUAGUCCCA
This 446-nucleotide ribosomal RNA is filed under the name uncultured organism. RNAcentral describes it as "partial 16S ribosomal RNA". It matches the Rfam family "Bacterial small subunit ribosomal RNA", at positions 335 to 797 of the family's 1533-position model. The record is from RNAcentral.